RNAcentral lists this ribosomal RNA (916 nucleotides) under Cladosporium phyllactiniicola. RNAcentral describes it as "LSU rRNA". It matches the Rfam family "Eukaryotic large subunit ribosomal RNA", at positions 34 to 975 of the family's 3401-position model. Lineage: Eukaryota; Fungi; Ascomycota; Dothideomycetes; Cladosporiales; Cladosporiaceae. The record is from RNAcentral.
UUAAGCAUAUCAAUAAGCGGAGGAAAAGAAACCAACAGGGAUUGCUCUAGUAACGGCGAGUGAAGCAGCAAUAGCUCAAAUUUGAAAUCUGGCGUCUUCGACGUCCGAGUUGUAAUUUGUAGAGGAUGCUUCUGAGUAACCACCGACCUAAGUUCCUUGGAACAGGACGUCAUAGAGGGUGAGAAUCCCGUAUGCGGUCGGAAAGGUGCUCUAUACGUAGCUCCUUCGACGAGUCGAGUUGUUUGGGAAUGCAGCUCUAAAUGGGAGGUAAAUUUCUUCUAAAGCUAAAUAUUGGCCAGAGACCGAUAGCGCACAAGUAGAGUGAUCGAAAGAUGAAAAGCACUUUGGAAAGAGAGUUAAAAAGCACGUGAAAUUGUUAAAAGGGAAGGGAUUGCAACCAGACUUGCUCGCGGUGUUCCGCCGGUCUUCUGACCGGUCUACUCGCCGCGUUGCAGGCCAGCAUCGUCUGGUGCCGCUGGAUAAGACUUGAGGAAUGUAGCUCCCUCGGGAGUGUUAUAGCCUCUUGUGAUGCAGCGAGCGCCGGGCGAGGUCCGCGCUUCGGCUAGGAUGCUGGCGUAAUGGUCGUAAUCCGCCCGUCUUGAAACACGGACCAAGGAGUCUAACAUCUAUGCGAGUGUUCGGGUGUCAAACCCCUACGCGUAAUGAAAGUGAACGGAGGUGAGAACCGCAAGGUGCAUCAUCGACCGAUCCUGAUGUCUUCGGAUGGAUUUGAGUAAGAGCAUAGCUGUUGGGACCCGAAAGAUGGUGAACUAUGCCUGAAUAGGGUGAAGCCAGAGGAAACUCUGGUGGAGGCUCGCAGCGGUUCUGACGUGCAAAUCGAUCGUCAAAUUUGGGUAUAGGGGCGAAAGACUAAUCGAACCAUCUAGUAGCUGGUUCCUGCCCGAAGUUUCCCCUC